Molecule: unclassified non-coding RNA, 292 nt
Filed under: uncultured fungus
Lineage: Eukaryota; Fungi
Description: partial contains small subunit ribosomal RNA, internal transcribed spacer 1, and 5.8S ribosomal RNA
Rfam family: Eukaryotic small subunit ribosomal RNA (bases 1-73)
Source: RNAcentral
ACAAACUUGGUCAUUUAGAGGAAGUAAAAGUCGUAACAAGGUCUCCGUUGGUGAACCAGCGGAGGGAUCAUUACAGGGUCUUACGACGCCCAAACCCAACCGUGCACUUUCUGCUUCUUGCUACGGCAGGCCGCCCGCUGGGGGGGCCUGGGCCGGGUGCUGUUUGCGCCUGGUGGCCUGCCGGAGCAGUCUUCUUAAAGAUCUCUCUGAAUACUCUCUGAGAACAAACAAACAACUUUUUACAACUCACAACAAUGGAUCUCUUGGUUCUGGCAUCGAUGAAGAACGCAGC